Molecule: long non-coding RNA, 478 nt
Organism: Daphnia carinata
Lineage: Eukaryota; Metazoa; Arthropoda; Branchiopoda; Diplostraca; Daphniidae
Exons: 2
Source: RefSeq, a predicted model, not a curated record
GCGCUAUAAAAAGCCUACCGUACCGAUACGAAUGUGUCACUCGUAGACGUCAUCUUGCCUACUCCAGUUCAACUGCUGCUUUUAGAACGUUUGCACACCUUCGAUUGUUCUAAGAUGAAGCUAAUGAUGGCGAUCGUGCUUGCUUGUUUGCUCACCUUGUCCGUGACUAGAGCAUCUCCCGUACCGCAGGGUCGGCCACAGGGACUUGCAGUGACGACAAACACGAAUGCACAGCAGCAAUCGAAUGCUCAAUUGAUGUCUCAAGUACAAAACAGCAAUCAGGGACUGGCUGCUGCCCUUAUCUCGUCUACCUUCGCAAUGGGCCAACAGGUGUUUCAAGCAGUUGGCAGACAGCUGCAAGGAUGGUCUCGACUUUAAAUUAAGAAAAACAAAAAUAUAUUUACGUGUAUCUAGAUCCUUGUCUGCUAAAUUUUCAACCUAACAAAAUGAAGAAUUAUUUAUUUUUAAUACGAAGAAA